ACGGGUGAGUAAUGCCUAGGAAUCUGCCUGGUAGUGGGGGACAACGUUUCGAAAGGAACGCUAAUACCGCAGACGUCCUACGGGAGAAAGCAGGGGACCUUCGGGCCUUGCGCUAUCAGAUGAGCCUAGGUCGGAUUAGCUAGUUGGUGAGGUAAUGGCUCACCAAGGCGACCAUCCGUAACUGGUCUGAGAGGAUGAUCAAUCACACUGGAACUGAGACACGGUCCAGACUCCUACGGGAGGCAGCAGUGGGGAAUAUUGGACAAUGGGCGAAAGCCUGAUCCAGCCAUGCCGCGUGUGUGAAGAAGGUCUUCGUAUUGUAAAGCACUUUAAGUUGGGAGGAAGGGUUGUAGAUUAAUACUCUGCAAUUUUGACGUUACCGACAGAAUAAGCACCGGCUAACUCUGUGCCAGCAGCCGCGGUAAUACAGAGGGUGCAAGCGUUAAUCGGAAUUACUGGGCGUAAAGCGCGCGUAGGUGGUUUGUUAAGUUGGAUGUGAAAUCCCCGGGCUCAACCUGGGAACUGCAUCCAAAACUGGCAAGCUAGAGUAUGGUAGAGGGUGGUGGAAUUUCCUGUGUAGCGGUGAAAUGCGU
This 593-nucleotide ribosomal RNA is filed under the name Pseudomonas sp. HRTK076. RNAcentral describes it as "bacterial SSU rRNA". It matches the Rfam family "Bacterial small subunit ribosomal RNA", at positions 102 to 691 of the family's 1533-position model. Lineage: Bacteria; Pseudomonadati; Pseudomonadota; Gammaproteobacteria; Pseudomonadales; Pseudomonadaceae. The record is from RNAcentral.